This 87-nucleotide transfer RNA is filed under the name Mycolicibacterium smegmatis. RNAcentral's name for it is "tRNA-Leu (TAG) (tRNA-Leu-TAG-1-1)". It matches the Rfam family "tRNA". Rfam says of the family: Transfer RNA (tRNA) molecules are approximately 80 nucleotides in length. Their secondary structure includes four short double-helical elements and three loops (D, anti-codon, and T loops). The record is from RNAcentral. RNAcentral also lists the same sequence under 2 other names. Lineage: Bacteria; Bacillati; Actinomycetota; Actinomycetes; Mycobacteriales; Mycobacteriaceae.
GCGGGCGUGGCGAAAUCGGUAUACGCGCGGGUUUUAGGUGCCCGUGUUCGAGAGAACGUGUGGGUUCGAGUCCCACCGCCCGCACCA